GCUGUGAUGGCCGAGUGGUUAAGGCGUUGGACUCGAAAUCCAAUGGGAUAUUCCCGCGCAGGUUCAAGUUCUGCUUACGGCG
Molecule: transfer RNA, 82 nt
Filed under: Haliotis rubra (blacklip abalone)
Lineage: Eukaryota; Metazoa; Mollusca; Gastropoda; Lepetellida; Haliotidae
Description: tRNA-Ser
Rfam family: tRNA
About the family: Transfer RNA (tRNA) molecules are approximately 80 nucleotides in length. Their secondary structure includes four short double-helical elements and three loops (D, anti-codon, and T loops). Further hydrogen bonds mediate the characteristic L-shaped molecular structure. tRNAs have two regions of fundamental functional importance: the anti-codon, which is responsible for specific mRNA codon recognition, and the 3' end, to which the tRNAs corresponding amino acid is attached (by aminoacyl-tRNA synthetases). tRNAs cope with the degeneracy of the genetic code in two manners: having more than one tRNA (with a specific anti-codon) for a particular amino acid; and 'wobble' base-pairing, i.e. permitting non-standard base-pairing at the 3rd anti-codon position.
Source: RNAcentral